GCCCAUGUGAGCUCAGCAUCCACUUGUGCUCAGUAUUCAGCUCCCUGUGUUCUAAUAACUGCUCCCCACUCAGACGAAGGGCACUCAGACUUUCUAUGGUGGCAGCCCCAGGGUACUACAGCAACAUCUGUGGAUAUCCCUGAUGGUUUCCCAUAAUAUUAUGAAUAAUGGCUAUAUUAAUUUCUCCUCAUUUGACUAGCUUUCAUAUGCCAUCCACUUCCUGCUGGGACCACUAAGACAUUCUGUGUCUCACAUCUCCAGUUUCAUGGGCUGGAUCCUGAUUAGGCUAACCUAAUCACAGUAUCCCAUUUACCAUUCAUCAGUUGAAACACCCAGAGUUAAGGCAAUUCCUCUAUGGCAUUCCAUUAAGAAAUCGUUUUGAUAUAGAGAUGAACACCUGAAUUACAUUGGUCCAUUAGACGGAAGGGACCAGGGAAGCACUUGACCUCAGCUUCUGCCAGCAGCCAUCUUGUGAGCAAGAGGAAAGACCCCAUGAAUACAAAGUCAACAUGCUUAUAGGGCAGAGGACAGAAUAGUGACAUGGAGCCCUGAUGGUCAUAUCUAUGGGCUUAC
Molecule: long non-coding RNA, 573 nt
Filed under: Marmota monax (woodchuck)
Lineage: Eukaryota; Metazoa; Chordata; Mammalia; Rodentia; Sciuridae
Source: RNAcentral